RNAcentral lists this ribosomal RNA (460 nucleotides) under uncultured bacterium. Its description in RNAcentral is "partial 16S ribosomal RNA". It matches the Rfam family "Bacterial small subunit ribosomal RNA", at positions 338 to 795 of the family's 1533-position model. The record is from RNAcentral.
CCUACGGGUGGCUGCAGUGAGGAAUAUUGGUCAAUGGGCGCGAGCCUGAACCAGCCAAGUCGCGUGAGGGAAGACGGCCCUACGGGUUGUAAACCUCUUUUGUCGGGGAGCAACGGGCGCCACGUGUGGCGCCACUGAGAGUACCCGGAGAAAAAGCAUCGGCUAACGCCGUGCCAGCACCCCCGGUAAUACGGGGGAUGCGAGCGUUAUCCGGAUUUUUUGGGUUUAAAGGGUGCGUAGGCGGAGCGUUAAGUCAGUGGUCAAAUUGAGGGGCUCAACCCCUUCCCGCCAUUGAAACUGGCGCUCUUGAGUGGAAGAGAAGUAUGCGGAAUGCGUGGUGUAGCGGUGAAAUGCAUAGAUAUCACGCAGAACCCCGAUUGCGAAGGCAGCAUGCCGGCUUCCUACUGACGCUGAAGCACGAAAGCGUGGGGAUCGAACAGGAUUAGAUACCCGGGUAGUC